RNAcentral lists this ribosomal RNA (2667 nucleotides) under Triticum aestivum (bread wheat). Its description in RNAcentral is "partial small subunit ribosomal RNA". Lineage: Eukaryota; Viridiplantae; Streptophyta; Magnoliopsida; Poales; Poaceae. The record is from RNAcentral.
AUGAGGAAGCUCUUCUUCUCCGAGUUGACCUCCUGCAAGGAGACCAAGCUGCAGUCCGCCACCCACUCAUGGCUGCCCAUGGACAAAGGCAAGCUCUCCAAGUUCACCGGCCACUCCAGCUCCUCCUCCUCCAUAGAAUCUCUGAUGAAAAUGCCGGAGCCGCCGGUCCUCCCGCACUUCAAGCCCGCUGACUACGUCGACAUACUGGCCCAGAUUCACGAGGAGCUGGAGUACUGCCCUCCUGACGAGAAGUCGUGCCUGUACCUGCUCCAGUUCCAGGUCUUCCGCGGGCUUGGCGAGGCCAAGCUGUCGCGAAGGAGCCUCCAGGCUGCCUGGGAGAAGGCGAGCACGAUACACGAGAAGCUCAUAUUCGGGGCAUGGCUCAAGUACGAGAAGAGAGGGGAGGAGCCGAUAUCCGACCUUCUUGGCUCGUGCGGCAAGUGCUCUCAAGAGUUCAAGCUGCUGGAUUUCGUCUCGCAGAUCUCCGCCGAGUCGCACGGGAUAAGCUAUGACGACGAAUCUGAUGAGUUCCAGGGCUCCCCGGUGGUUCAUUUCCGGAUAAGGGAUGACAUGAUUGCCUGCGAUAGGCGGAAGCUUGCGGCCUUGUCAACUCCACUGUAUGCGAUGCUUAACGGUGGGUUUAAGGAGUCACAUCUUGAGGUCAUUGACAUGUCUCGUAAUGGCAUCUCCCCUAUUGGCAUGCGGGCCAUCAGUAAAUUCAGCCUGUCAGGAAGACUACCGUAUUUGUCAGCAGAAUCUAUCUUGGAGAUGCUUGAUUUUGCUAACAAGUUCUGCUGUAAGGGCCUCAAGGAUGCCUGCGAGCAAAAGCUUGCUUCUUUUGUUUCUUCCAGGCAGGAUGCCAUAGAUUACAUGGAGUGUGCUAUUGAGCUGGGCUGUUCCAUCCUUGCCGCGUCAUGCUUGCAGGUGCUCCUGAAUGAGCUUCCAGAAUGCUUGAAUGAUGAGCAAGUGGUUCGGAUAUUCUCCUCUGCGAAUAAGCAGCAGAGAUCCACUAUGGCUGGCAAUGCAUCUUUCUCCCUAUAUUGCCUUCUUGGUGAAGUCUCCAUGAGCAUCAGUGCAACGUCAGAUGUCACCGUAAGCUUCUUGGAGAAGCUGGUUGACUCGGCAUCGGAUUCUAGACAGAAGCAGUUGUCCUUGCAUCAGCUGGCUUGCGUGAGGCUGCUAAGGAAAGAUCAUGCUGAAGCGGAGCGCCUGUUCAAUGCCGCCUUUACCGCUGGUCAUGUCUACUCGGUAGUGGGGUUGGCUAGAUUGGCCUCUCUGAGGAGCAAUAAGCAUUAUUCUCUCAACUUGCUUGACUCUGUGAUGUCAUCUCGCUGGCCUCUUGGGUGGAUGUAUCAAGAGAGAGCCCUAUAUCUGGACGGUGAUAGCAAGCUGGAGAAUCUCAAUAAGGCUACUGAACUGGAUCCUACCCUUACAUACCCCUAUAUGUUUCGAGCUGCAUCUUUGAUGAAAAGGCAAAGUGUUGAAGCUGCCCUGAUGGAGAUUAACCGGAUCCUGGGGUUCAAGCUGGUCCUGGAAUGCUUAGAGCUAAGGUUCUGUUGCUACCUUGCUCUAGAGGACUACAGAGCUGCCUUAUGCGAUGUACAGGCAAUCCUCACGCUUGCUCCAGAUUAUCGUAUGAUUGGUGGUCGGGUGGCUGCGAAGCAGCUGCGUACACUUGUGAUGGAGAAUGUAGAGCAAUGGACGACUGCUGAUUGCUGGAUGCAGCUUUAUGAUCGGUGGUCCUCUGUGGAUGAUAUUGGAUCCCUCUCGGUCAUAUAUCAAAUGCUGGAGUCAGAUGCUGCUAAGGGAGUACUCUACUUCAGACAAUCUUUGCUACUUCUCAGAUUAAAUUGUCCUGAGGCUGCAAUGCGCAGCUUGCAGCUUGCUCGCGAGCAUGCGGCAAGCCAGCAUGAACGACUUGUUUAUGAAGGAUGGAUACUGUAUGAUACUGGCCACUGCGAGGAAGGAUUGCAGAAAGCGGAAGCAUCCAUUGCCAUACAGAGAUCAUUUGAGGCAUUCUUUCUAAAAGCUUAUGCUUUAGCUGAUUCGAGUCUUGAGCCGUCAACCUCAGCAACAGUCGUAUCGCUUCUUGAAGAUGCAUUACGGUGUCCCUCAGAUAGACUUAGGAAGGGCCAGGCUUUGAAUAACCUUGGGAGUGUUUAUGUGGAUUGCGGGAAUCUAGACUUGGCAGCUGAAUGCUACAUUAACGCUUUAAAGAUUGGCCACACGAGAGCUCAUCAAGGCCUCGCCAGGGUUCAUUUCCUUAGGAAUAACAGGACCGGUGCAUUCGAGGAAAUGACCAAGCUGAUAGAGAAGGCCAGGAGCAAUGCAUCAGCAUACGAGAAGAGGUCUGAGUAUUGUGACCGGGAUCUAACAAAAGCUGAUCUGCAGAUGGUCACCAAACUUGACCCCCUCCGGGUCUACCCCUACAGAUACCGUGCUGCUGUUCUGAUGGACAACCACAAGGAGAAAGAUGCCAUCUCAGAGCUGACCAAGGCAAUCGCCUUUAAGGCGGACCUGAACCUGCUCCACCUGCGUGCGGCCUUCCAUGAGCACGUGGGCGACAUCUCAGGCGCCCUCCGGGACUGCCGUGCAGCACUUUCCGUGGACCCCAACCACCAGGAGAUGCUCGAGCUUCAUCACCGGGUGAACAGCCAAGAACCCUGA